CGACCGGGUGAGUAACACGUGACUAACCUACCUUCGAGUGGGGGAUAACCUCGGGAAACCGGGGCUAAUACCGCAUAAUAUCUUCGGGAUGAGAAGCCGAAGAUCAAAGGAGCAAUUCGCUGGAAGAGGGAGUCGCGGCUGAUUAGCUAGUUGGCGGGGUAAUGGCCCACCAAGGCUUUGAUCGGUAGCCGGCCUGAGAGGGCGCACGGCCACACUGGGACUGAGACACGGCCCAG
This 236-nucleotide ribosomal RNA is filed under the name uncultured bacterium. RNAcentral describes it as "partial 16S ribosomal RNA". It matches the Rfam family "Bacterial small subunit ribosomal RNA", at positions 99 to 334 of the family's 1533-position model. The record is from RNAcentral.